GGCACUCCUCCUCCAUCCGGUGGCAAAGCCCCUCCAAGUCCUCCACAAGGUUUUCCAUUUCCUCAUCUUCCAUUUCCUCAUCUUCCGUUUCCAUGGCCUUUUCCUCAUCCACCGCCACUGGCACUCCAUCCGCUCCAUCCGGCGACAAAGCCCCCUCCAAGUCCUCCAGCCAAAUGUCCUCCUGGGCCUCUAACCAAUAAACCUCCGGCUGGCCAGAAUUAGAGUUUGAUGUGGCUGUUUAUUUUAGACUAAUAAUAUAAAUGUCUCAAUGUUUUAGACUUUAAAAUAGAAUAUUAGUAUAGAUUAAAUAAAAGGUCGUAUUAGUAUCUAUUCUUUUUUUAAUAAAAGUUCUUGAUUUGUAGAGAAGGCCG
This 371-nucleotide long non-coding RNA is filed under the name Coffea arabica (coffee). Its description in RNAcentral is "long non-coding RNA (CARA_LNC007670)". The record is from RNAcentral. Lineage: Eukaryota; Viridiplantae; Streptophyta; Magnoliopsida; Gentianales; Rubiaceae.